This 274-nucleotide ribosomal RNA is filed under the name uncultured bacterium. Its description in RNAcentral is "partial 16S ribosomal RNA". It matches the Rfam family "Bacterial small subunit ribosomal RNA", at positions 523 to 796 of the family's 1533-position model. The record is from RNAcentral.
AUACGGAGGGGGCUAGCGUUGUUCGGAAUUACUGGGCGUAAAGCGCGCGUAGGCGGUUGGUUAAGUUGGUCGUGAAAGCCCGGGGCUCAACCCCGGAUGUGCGAUCGAAACUGGCCGACUAGAGACCGAGAGAGGAUGGCGGAAUUCCCGGUGUAGAGGUGAAAUUCGUAGAGAUCGGGAGGAACACCCGUGGCGAAGGCGGCCUGCUGGGGCUCUUCUGACGCUGAGGCGCGAAAGCGUGGGUAGCAAACAGGAUUAGAUACCCCGGUAGUCC